AACCUAUGGUGAGGGCACCUUCUCAAUAGAUCCUUGUAUCUCUCUCAUGCAUUAUAAAGUAUUUUUAAAUCCAUCUGUACAAAAGAAGAGAUAUCAUUCCUUAAUUU
This 107-nucleotide small nucleolar RNA is filed under the name Gossypium hirsutum (cotton). Its description in RNAcentral is "Plant small nucleolar RNA R71". It matches the Rfam family "Plant small nucleolar RNA R71". Rfam says of the family: R71 is a member of the C/D box family of snoRNAs containing the C (UGAUGA) and D (CUGA) box motifs. Multiple nearly identical copies of this snoRNA have been identified in Arabidopsis, and it is thought to function as a 2'-O-ribose methylation guide for 18S ribosomal RNA. Lineage: Eukaryota; Viridiplantae; Streptophyta; Magnoliopsida; Malvales; Malvaceae. The record is from Rfam by way of RNAcentral.